AUAAAUAGCAUGUAUUGUACAGCUAAGGUGUUCUGGUCACACUGUAUGGAUAUUAAUGUUGAUGUAGUACUAAGUGAUAACAGUUCAAACCUGCUAGAAACUGGGGUGAAUCAGGGGGCUGCAUGAUCCAAGCUGGGUAACUAUCUACAGCACGGUUUACUGAAGUUAGAGUUAUUGAGAGUGUUCCAUUUUAUUCCAUUGAGUUUUAAAGCUAAAAAUCAGGAUCUACAUUCUCUAGACUUAAUAGAAAGUGCUGUUUUGGUAAUGGUAGCCUAGGUAACUUAAAUGGCAACCCUGUAAUCAAUUUUUAUUUGUUUUAAAAGAAUAUGAAUACCCUGUUUUAGUAAUUCCUCUUUCACACAUGCAUCCUGAAUUCUGCUCUGGUCCCAAUCAACACCCACAGGAUGGCUUAAAGACAGAUUCUUAGUGAUGCAUUAGAUUUUAUAUUAUUGUUCCUAAAGCAAAAUUGGUAGCAGCAGUUCAAAGUUUUACAAAACCAUAGAUUGUAAGUUAGCAAAAUUCUGUUAAUGCAACUCUUUCAGUCACGGUUCCACAAUCGCAGAAUUUGACUUAAUAUCACCAGAUCCCUCUGUUGAUGUUUUUUUGUUUGUUGUUUUUUUUUUUUUGCAAUAAUACAUAAUUGAGUUUAUUGAAAAUUUUAAACAAGAAAAAAACAGUUAAAAAAAACCUACAGGGGGCAUAAUUUUUUCUACUACACUGCUGCCUCAACCUUCGUAGAUGUCAAGUAGUAGCAGGAUUUCUGCAGGCUGCACAAACUCAAAUUUAAGACCUUUUUAAGACUGUUGUCGGAGGAAUUUAAGACAAAUAUCGCCACAGAAAUGCAGGAAUGUCGUCCAGCCAAGUGGUGAUAAAUUUCCACAUACCCAUGAUGGAUGU
Xiphophorus hellerii (green swordtail) is the source of this 897-nucleotide long non-coding RNA. RefSeq lists it as uncharacterized. The transcript is spliced from 2 exons. The record is from RefSeq and is a predicted model, not a curated record. NCBI's taxonomy places the organism in Eukaryota, Metazoa, Chordata, Actinopteri, Cyprinodontiformes, Poeciliidae.